This 218-nucleotide long non-coding RNA is filed under the name Eucalyptus grandis. RNAcentral's name for it is "long non-coding RNA (EGRA_LNC002234)". The record is from RNAcentral. Lineage: Eukaryota; Viridiplantae; Streptophyta; Magnoliopsida; Myrtales; Myrtaceae.
AGAGAAAAGAAAAAGGGUCCCAUCUCUCUCUCUCCUCCUUCUCUCUCCACCCUCUCCCAACCGUGCGACUCCUUCAGCCCUCUCCAUCUUCUUCAUCUCCUUCUUCUUCGAAAACCCAGCAACCAGCGAAGCCGGAGAAGCUGCCGGACCUCACGCCUUUGCCCGUCCACUCGUCGUCGCCGCCGCCAAGCUACUCGCCGGCCGCGCCACCGUCGCCC